AUUAAUUGAAAGAGGCAAUUGCAUCCCUACCAGAUGGACCUGCGUUGUAUAGCUAGUUGGUGAGGUAACCGCUCACCAAGGCGACGAUACAUAGCCGACCUGAGAGGGUGAUCGGCCACACUGGGACUGAGACACGGCCCAGACUCCUACGGGAGGCAGCAGUAGGGAAUCUUCGGCAAUGGGGGGAACCCUGACCGAGCAACGCCGCGUGAGUGAAGAAGGUUUUCGGAUCGUAAAGCUCUGUUGUAAGAGAAGAACGGGUGUGAGAGUGGAAAGUUCACACUGUGACGUAUCUACCAGAAAGGCCG
RNAcentral lists this ribosomal RNA (308 nucleotides) under Streptococcus sanguinis. RNAcentral's name for it is "bacterial SSU rRNA". It matches the Rfam family "Bacterial small subunit ribosomal RNA", at positions 195 to 494 of the family's 1533-position model. The record is from RNAcentral. Lineage: Bacteria; Bacillati; Bacillota; Bacilli; Lactobacillales; Streptococcaceae.